This 253-nucleotide ribosomal RNA is filed under the name uncultured bacterium. RNAcentral describes it as "partial 16S ribosomal RNA". It matches the Rfam family "Bacterial small subunit ribosomal RNA", at positions 524 to 776 of the family's 1533-position model. The record is from RNAcentral.
UACGGGGGGGGCAAGCGUUGUUCGGAAUUACUGGGCGUAAAGGGCUCGUAGGUGGCCAACUAAGUCAGACGUGAAAUCCCUCGGCUUAACCGGGGAACUGCGUCUGAUACUGGGUGGCUUGAGUUCGGGAGAGGGAUGCGGAAUUCCAGGUGUAGCGGUGAAAUGCGUAGAUAUCUGGAGGAACACCAAUGGCGAAGGCAGCUCGCUGGGACGUGACUGACGCUGAGACGCGAAAGCGUGGGGAGCAAACAGG